CCGGACAAGCGGUGGAGUAUGUGGUUUAAUUCGAUGCAACGCGAAGAACCUUACCAGGACUUGACAUGUCGCGAAUCCAGUGGAAACACAGGAGUGCCUUCGGGAGCGCGAACACAGGUGGUGCAUGGCCGUCGUCAGCUCGUGCCGCAAGGUGUUGGGUUAAGUCCCACAACGAGCGCAACCCUCGUGUUUAGUUGCCAUAGUAUGUUUGGCACUCUGAACAGACUAUCGGUGUUAAGCCGGAGGAAGGUGACGGAUGAUGUCAAGUCAUCAUGCCCCUUACGCCCUGGGCGACACACGUGCUACAAUGGUCGGGACAAAGGGUCGCGCUCCCGCGAGGGCAAGCUAACCUCAAAAACCUGGCCUCAAUUCGGAUUGCAGGCUGCAACUCGCCUUCAUGAAGUAGGAAUCGCUAGUAAUCGCCGGUCAGCCAUACGGCGGUGAAUUCGUUCUCGGGCCUUGUACACACCGCCCGUCACACUAGGGAAGUAAGCCAUGUUCGAAGUCAUUACCUUAACCACGUCGACGCGGCC
Molecule: ribosomal RNA, 533 nt
Filed under: uncultured eukaryote
Lineage: Eukaryota
Description: SSU rRNA
Rfam family: Bacterial small subunit ribosomal RNA
Source: RNAcentral